AAUGAACGCUGGCGGCGUGGAUAAGGCAUGCAAGUCGUACGGGUCUAGUGUCUGGAUCCUUUCGGGGUGAAAGAUACAAAGACUAGUGGCAAAAGGGUGAGUAACGCGUGAGUAACUUGCCUGUGGCUUAAGGAUAACAGUCCGAAAGGACUGCUAAUACUGUAUAAUACUAUAUUGUCAUCAGACUUUAUGGUUAAAGGUGGCCUCUGUUUCAAGCUACCGGCCGCAGGGAGGCUCGCGUCCUAUUAGCUAGUUGGCAGGGUAAUGGCCUACCAAGGCAACGAUGGGUAGCCGGUUUGAGAGAACGAUCGGCCACACUGGGACUGAGACACGGCCCAGACUCCUACGGGAGGCUGCAGUCGAGGAUAAUUCGCAAUGGGGGCAACCCUGACGAUGCGACGCCGCGUGAGGGAUGAAGGCCUUCGGGUUGUAAACCUCUGUCACUCGGGAAGAAAGGUAUAAGGGUAAAUAAUCCUUGUAUUUGACGGUACCGGGAGAGGAAGCUCCGGCUAACUCCGUGCCAGCAGCCGCGGUAAUACGGAGGGAGCAAGCGUUAUUCGGAUUUACUGGGCGUAAAGGGCGUGUAGGUGGGUAGCUAAGUCAGAUGUGAAAUCCCUCAGCUCAACUGAGGAACUGCAUUUGAAACUGAUUAUCUUGAGUGUGAGAAGAGAGAGCGGAAUUUUCGGUGUAGCGGUGAAAUGCGUAGAUAUCGAAAAGAACACCAGUGGUGCAAACGGCUCUCUGGCUCAACACUGACACUGAGGCGCGAAAGCUAGGGGAGCAAACGGGAUUAGAUACCCCGGUAGUCCUAGCUAUAAACGAUGUGAACUUGGUGUGGGGAG
This 842-nucleotide ribosomal RNA is filed under the name uncultured bacterium. RNAcentral's name for it is "bacterial SSU rRNA". It matches the Rfam family "Bacterial small subunit ribosomal RNA", at positions 28 to 829 of the family's 1533-position model. The record is from RNAcentral.